RNAcentral lists this transfer RNA (76 nucleotides) under Armatimonadota bacterium. RNAcentral's name for it is "Armatimonadetes bacterium tRNA-Phe". It matches the Rfam family "tRNA". Rfam says of the family: Transfer RNA (tRNA) molecules are approximately 80 nucleotides in length. The record is from RNAcentral. Lineage: Bacteria; Bacillati; Armatimonadota.
GGACGAUUAGCUCAGGAGGAAGAGCGCCGGAUUGAAAUCCCGGAGGUCCCAGGUUCAAAUCCUGGAUUGUCCACCG